RNAcentral lists this long non-coding RNA (520 nucleotides) under Acyrthosiphon pisum (pea aphid). RNAcentral's name for it is "uncharacterized LOC100574121". Lineage: Eukaryota; Metazoa; Arthropoda; Insecta; Hemiptera; Aphididae. The record is from RNAcentral.
UACCAUAUUUUACCUCCUAUGUGAACUUCGUAAGCUAUAAUAACAUGUAACAGCCCGAGAUUAGAUAUAUUUAUUCAAUAUGUUUUUUAAAUAAACAAUCCUCGUAAUAUUAUUACAAUAAUCACGCCACGACGCCGCCCCACCUUAGAUCAGUCGGUGGGUUUGUAUAUAAAGGCGUCUGAGAUCUCGACUCCGGCAUAACGCAUCCUUUGUGCAUAUAUCUAUUCUUUGUUUUAACUUUCAUCCUCAAAAACCAACCAAAAACCAAAAAUGGGCGCAGAAAAAGUAUCCAUGAACAUCGUCGUCGUCGGACAAGUGCAAUCUGCCAAGGCGGUCAAAUCGAUCGCCAAAGCUACACCAGCGACCAGCCAACUUAUGAACUGUUAAUUCAUCCAGUCCAUCACAUUGCAAAACUCAAAAAUGCCAUAGCCCAAACAAUACAAUAAUAAUAUGUACCUUAUUCAUAUUUCAUAUCAGUAUUGAAACCGCAAAAUAAAUCAGUCGUUUCCGAUAAACUUAA